UCUGGAUACCUUUCGAAUAGUGCC
RNAcentral lists this non-coding RNA (24 nucleotides) under Arabidopsis thaliana (thale cress). Lineage: Eukaryota; Viridiplantae; Streptophyta; Magnoliopsida; Brassicales; Brassicaceae. The record is from RNAcentral.